Molecule: ribosomal RNA, 429 nt
Filed under: Bacteroidota bacterium
Lineage: Bacteria; Pseudomonadati; Bacteroidota
Description: Bacteroidetes bacterium partial 16S ribosomal RNA
Rfam family: Bacterial small subunit ribosomal RNA
Source: RNAcentral
UAGGGAAUCUUCCGCAAUGGGCGAAAGCCUGACGGAGCAACGCCGCGUGAGUGAUGAAGGUCUUCGGAUCGUAAAACUCUGUUAUUAGGGAAGAAUAAAUGUGUAAGUAACUAUGCACGUCUUGACGGUACCUAAUCAGAAAGCCACGGCUAACUACGUGCCAGCAGCCGCGGUAAUACGUAGGUGGCAAGCGUUAUCCGGAAUUAUUGGGCGUAAAGCGCGCGUAGGCGGUUUUUUAAGUCUGAUGUGAAAGCCCACGGCUCAACCGUGGAGGGUCAUUGGAAACUGGAAAACUUGGGUGCAGAAGAGGAAAGUGGAAUUCCAUGUGUAGCGGUGAAAUGCGCAGAGAUAUGGAGGAACACCAGUGGCGAAGGCGACUUUCUGGUCUGUAACUGACGCUGAUGUGCGAAAGCGUGGGGAUCAAACAGG